Megalops cyprinoides (Indo-Pacific tarpon) is the source of this 78-nucleotide small nucleolar RNA. Lineage: Eukaryota; Metazoa; Chordata; Actinopteri; Elopiformes; Megalopidae. The record is from RefSeq and is a predicted model, not a curated record.
AUGCGAUGAUGUCUUGAAUUUCUUCACCUGAAUCUGUUGUGUGGAGCCGAAAAUACGAGCUUUUUAACCCUGAGCAUC